Punica granatum (pomegranate) is the source of this 2180-nucleotide non-coding RNA. The record is from RefSeq and is a predicted model, not a curated record. Lineage: Eukaryota; Viridiplantae; Streptophyta; Magnoliopsida; Myrtales; Lythraceae.
UUCAUCAUUAAGUUAAUGACAACUCACCAUCCACUCUCUCUCAAGCUCUCUCACUCUAGGAUAUCCUCCCAAGCCCCCUUAGCCUCAGCAAAUACCAGAAAAUCGCACAACCCUAUCUCAGCCCGGUUACAAGGCCAUUUCGCCCGAAAACUCAACCGUUUUCCGGCGACCGCCACUCAACCCGAACCAAACUUGACCAAACUUUAGACCCCCCAUGUUUUCGACCUUCUAAAUCCAUUUCCGGAGUUAGUUUUAGCAUUUGAGGCCUCCAGCACAUCGUUUCAGCAGACAAUAGAAACAGUGCGGAACCGUGCCUCUUGGGUUCAUCCUGGGUCCUAGACGUGUCAUUCGUUCCCACAACCAUGGCGAGUCAUGCCCACAUGUUCUAAGGGUCCCCUCAUGAUCCUCACUCUCCCCAUGACAAGUCGUGUGCACGCCACGAGCUAGUCACGAACACUUCAAGAAGCCCCCUUAGGAGUCGGAGGAGCCCGAGCCACCAUGCCGACCCACUUUCUUCUUGGCUGCCGCUGUUGCUUGCUUUUGGGUGCUCUCUGCACUUUCUUUCCAGCCGGGUCUAGCGACCCUCUUGCCACUUCUCCGACUCUUUCCUCGUAUUUCGAGGCUAGUUAUAACCCCUCUACGACUUAGGGAAGCUAGAUCUUCGAUACUUGGUUGUCGUGGGGUGAUAAGGUGAUUUUGUGCCGUUUUGUAUGCAAGUUUGUAUCUUCAGACGUUUUCAUGCACUUUAUUCCAUAUUACGUACGGUUUAUCAUUAUCAUGAUGAGAAAUGGUGUGAUUCGAGGUCAUGGAUGAAGGCCAGCAAAAAAAAAGCGUAUCAGAGCAGAAAAAUCAGUUAAGAGACACGGAGAUCGACGUAGAGAUGGAGGAGACUUAGCUUCGGAGGCGAUCAUCAACUCGACGGCAACGGGCACCAGCAUGGGAGCGAGAGUUUGGGCAGCAAUGUGAAGAAGCACAGCAGCAAAUAAAAGCAGCAAGGGAGGUGAUGAAGAGGAGAAGGACCCAAGGGUGCUGGUGGUGGUGAUUCAAGAAGAGGCUAUGGACGUGAGGAAAGAGAGGAGGUGGCUGAGAGGGGGAAGGUCAUAAUGGUGAUGGUGCUGGUCUCGACCAAGUGACCCCACCCCAAGCAGCAACUGAAAGCCCGUGGAAGAAGAAGGGAUCGUCAUGUUUAGCUAGCUGGUUAGGAUGGAUAUGGCUGGUCGUGAGAUGUCCAGAAUGAGAGAGAUUGAGGGAAUGCGAGAGAGAGAGAGAGAGAGAGAGAGAGAGAGAGAGAGAGAGAGAGAGAGAGAGAGGAUGGGAAGAGAAUGGGAAUGGACCUGAGAGUGAAAAAUGAGAGUUGUCCCGAAGAUGAGAGUGAGAGCUCGAGGUGAAGUUUGGAGAGAGCCCAGCUGAGGGAGUCAUGUUAUUCCCCUGAGGGAGUGAGCUGGUCAAGAGAGGGAGUGUGAGCUGGGAGAAAUCCGGUUGGUUUGAGCUGAGGGCGAAUCACGUGCCCGAGCUGAGGGAGAUUCCGGUGUCAGCUGGGGGAAUCCUCUUGUCCCCGUCUGUUCUCCCUGUUUUUUUUUUUUUUUUCAUUUUUCCCUUACUGUUCAGUUUGUUUCAGAGCGAGAGAGAUCGGUCAGAGCUGAGCUGAAAGGCUCGGGCUGGGAAAAAGCAAAAAAGAGAAUCUGAUCAGAUUGAAUCACAGAAAUAGGGCUUGCAUGGGAGGUAGCGGCCGAAAGAACCGAAAAGGGUUGACAGAGAGGAGGAAAGGAGGAAGAAAGAUGGCUUUUUACGUUGCAGAAGACAGGCUGAAAUGGAAAAGGAAAGAAAGCAGAAGAGGGUUGCAGAGAAAGCGAAAGGAGAAAGAAAAAGAAAAGGGAAGGGCGGGUAGGAAGAAAAGAGGAAAGGCAACGCAAAAAGAAGAAAGUAGCGGUCAAACAUGUGAACCCACUUUAUUAUUUCCUUCUUUUCGUUUGUUUUAUUAUCAUCAUCAAUAUUUUUUUACUCGUGCGAGCAUUUUUCACUAAAUUCAAUUUCUUAGGAUCCGUUGACGUUUUCGGGAUCAAAAUUUCGAAAUUUCAAAAUUCGAGAAAUAGUCCACUCUUUGAGGAUUUCAAUUUGUAUCCAUGGAGACCGAAUCUCGAGAAAAUCAAUAUUGAACUUCUGACACACGUUGAUUGUAA